GCUCCAUAAAUUCUGUAUUGCUAUCUGUGCAGAACUUGGUUUCCAGGGGAAGAAGUUAUUUUCCAGCGAUGUAACUACUAGCAGUAUGGCAGCAUCUGGAAUUUGAGAUCAAGGUGUGAUCAGAGCUCUCCUAGAGGCUGGCAGCUCUACACCCCUGUUCAUUGCUGAUGUUGUGAUCUUGACAGAGGCAAGCCAUAGUGCUCUGCUGGUAGCAUCAUACAGCAGUUCCCACCAGCCCAGCCAGCACACGCUGACACUGUAGGACAGCCUGGCUUUUUGGAACCAAAGAUGAGAGGAAAAAAAAAAAAGAAAAAGGAAAAACAAAGAUACAAAGAGAGAAAAGGAAAAAGGGAAUGAGAAAGAGGAAAAGAACAAGGAAAAGAAAAAAGGAAGAGAAAAGGAAGAGAAAAAAAGAGAGAAAGAAAGAACGAACAGCGCAAUCAGGUUUUGGUGCUGUUUUAAGAUUUCCUUGAACUCAUGACUCUGUGUCUGUUCUCUACAAAUAUAAGAGCUACACCUUUCCUCUCCUCACCUUUUCCGCCUAGCAGAUACUCUUCAUUCUUCAUCUCACCUCUCGUCUACUUAUCUCAAGCUUCAGUUUUGCAUACCUCAUGGACCCACCCAAAAGUUGUCAAAUUUCAUAGGCAAUCCUCAGUUCCACAUAUUCACCCAAGAGCUUCCAACCAAGGUAUCCUUCUUUGCAAUCAUUUUUUUUUUCCUUCUCAUUAACUAUUUUGUCAUCUUCCAUAGCAUUUCUUGUCCCCUACAUUUUCAGUAUCACACACGUAUUUGCCCUUUAAAUAUAAACGUAAAACCUGGUCUAAAAAGAACUUGACGUGUUGUACAGGAUGGACUAUGAGACCAAAGUUAUUGCAACAUGUCUAUCAAUAAAAAUUGUCUGUCUGAUUAAAUGCUUUUGGAAUGUUGAUUGUCAUUGAAAUAAUCUCCUUAAACUUAAAAAAAUUAAACAUUUUAAAAU
Gallus gallus (chicken) is the source of this 979-nucleotide long non-coding RNA. The record is from Ensembl. NCBI's taxonomy places the organism in Eukaryota, Metazoa, Chordata, Aves, Galliformes, Phasianidae.